RNAcentral lists this ribosomal RNA (203 nucleotides) under uncultured bacterium. Its description in RNAcentral is "partial 16S ribosomal RNA". It matches the Rfam family "Bacterial small subunit ribosomal RNA", at positions 524 to 728 of the family's 1533-position model. The record is from RNAcentral.
UACGUAGGGUGCGAGCGUUAAUCGGAAUACUGGGCGUAAAGCGUGCGCAGGCGGUUAUGUAAGACAGUUGUGAAAUCCCCGGGCUCAACCUGGGAAUUGCAUCUGUGACUGCAUAGCUAGAGUACGGUAGAGGGGAUGGAAUUCCGCGUGUAGCAGUGAAAUGCGUAGAUAUGCGGAGGGACACCGAUGGCGAAGGCAAUCCC